This 877-nucleotide ribosomal RNA is filed under the name Phalaropus tricolor (Wilson's phalarope). RNAcentral's name for it is "partial 16S ribosomal RNA". It matches the Rfam family "Bacterial large subunit ribosomal RNA", at positions 1239 to 2531 of the family's 2925-position model. Lineage: Eukaryota; Metazoa; Chordata; Aves; Charadriiformes; Scolopacidae. The record is from RNAcentral.
UCACACAGCUCCUUUAAAAAAGAAAACAAUCUCCCCUAGCGGAUACUAUCCACUCUCCCUAAACUGUGGGCCUUCAAGCAGCCACCAACAAAGAGUGCGUCACAGCUCUAUACUAAAAAUCACAUAAAUGAAUCCCUUCCCACUAACAGGCUAACCUAUUCUAAUAGGAGAAUCAAUGCUAAAAUGAGUAACUAGGGAUCUCCCUCUUAAGCGUAGACUUACAUCCGCACAUUAUUAACAGACUACAAACCAAUAUCCCAACCCCAACAAGAUUAAAAUAUUGAAUUCCACCCUGUUAAUCCAACUCAGGUACGCCUUCUAGAAAGAUUAAAAUCUGUAAAAGGAACUAGGCAAACUCAAGGCCCGACUGUUUACCAAAAACAUAGCCUUCAGCCAACCAAGUAUUGAAGGUGAUGCCUGCCCAGUGACACAACGUUUAACGGCCGCGGUAUCCUAACCGUGCGAAGGUAGCGCAAUCAAUUGUCCCAUAAAUCGAGACUUGUAUGAAUGGCUAAACGAGGUCUUAACUGUCUCUUACAGAUAAUCAGUGAAAUUGAUCUCCCUGUCCAAAAGCAGGGAUGCACUCAUAAGACGAGAAGACCCUGUGGAACUUAAAAAUCAACAGCCACUGCUCACAAACCAAAACCUAACAGGCUUACUGCCCUAUAAUGCUGGUUGACAUUUUUCGGUUGGGGCGACCUUGGAGAAAAACAAACCCUCCAAAAAUAAGAUCACACCUCUUAACUAAGAGCAACCCCUCAACGUACUAAUAGUAACCAGACCCAAUUCUAUUGAUAAAUGGACCAAGCUACCCCAGGGAUAACAGCGCAAUCUCCUCUAAGAGCCCACAUCGACGAGGAGGUUUACGACCUCGAUG